Long non-coding RNA from Oncorhynchus tshawytscha (Chinook salmon), 2752 nucleotides. Lineage: Eukaryota; Metazoa; Chordata; Actinopteri; Salmoniformes; Salmonidae. The record is from Ensembl.
AUUCUUUAUGAGUGAACACAGCAGCAGCAGCACAUGAUUCUUUAUGAGUGAACACAGCAGCAGCAGCACAUGAUUCUUUAUGAGUGAACACAGCAGCAGCAGCACAUGAUUCUUUAUGAGUGAACACAGCAGCAGCAGCACAUGAUUCUUUAUGAGUGAACACAGCAGCAGCACAUGAUUCUUUAUGAGUGAACACAGCAGCAACAGCACAUGAUUCUUUAUGAGUGAACACAGCAGCAGCAGCACAUGAUUCUUUAUGAGUGAACACAGCAGCAGCAGCACAUGAUUAUUUUCCUAUUGCAGGAUAUUACUUUGCUUUGUUUUUUGUUUUUGGGGAGCUUUGGGAAUAUGAGAGGAAAAUAAACUUGAUUGAUUUUUGAUAUUCAUUGGAUUCUUUGAAAAAAGAUUGUGUAUUCUAUAUGUGUAUUUGACUUUGUUUGUUUUUACUAAUGGGUGUAUGAAUUGGUGCUGGUUCCACCCCCCUGUGCUGACUACGUGUAUGUGGCACAUUGAUUAAGGCUUUUUUUUAACCAAUGUGUUACUAAGUCAUUUUUGAAAACACUUAAUUCCACAAAAUGCAGAUGAUCAAUUAUGAGGUUCAGUGAUACACACACACACAAACACACACACAACUCACACACUUUGAGUUAGAGUGCUGUGGACACGAGGAGGCCGUGGUUAGGGUUGGAGUGUAGGUAGGAACUGGGACUACGUGUCAUCUAAGUGCCAUAUCUUUUCAGUGUUGCAGCUUAUUUUAGUUCUACUAUGUUUCUAAUGAAAAACAAGAGACUUGAUAUUUAUGUGAAUCAAAGCAUUCCCUUUUGUUGCGUUCAUAUUUUCAUUUCAAAAUGACUGGAGUUCUGGACGUUUAACAGAAUAAGAGUUUUUACUGAAAAUAUCUCUACCGCUACAACUUGGUAGCUGUGGCAUUAACCGUUUUGAGAGAGUCCAAUCAGAAAACAUGCAAUCGAAGACACUUAUCUGAUGUGAACCCACUGAGACGUAUAGAGAUCACAACAUUGUAGCUGUCCCAUUAUGGUGUCUGUGACAGUAUGGGCAGCACCACUGAAGCCAUUUCCAUUUUAAAAUAGUCCGUUUUCUUCUUCUUUAGAUAAAAAAAAAAGUGUAAACUAAUAUAGGUGUCUUAUCGCCUCCUGCAGUGCUGGAGUCCUGAACCAAAUUUAGUGUCAUUCAUUUAUUGUGGCCACUAGAUGGCAGUCACAUAGCUUGAAGCCAUUUACAAACUAGGCAAACCAUUUUAAAGAAGAAGACAAUGCUCUGCUUAUUGGCUGAUCGCUCCCAACCCCAUACGAAUCUCUACACAGUUGACUACUGUAAAAUGCCUGGAAGCCCUCAAUGGCAAUAUCCAUGCAAAAACAGGUUAUUUCUAUGUAAUGAUCCUUAUACAUCUCUAUGUGUAAACCUGACUUGUCUAGUCUGGUUGGUUCAUCCAGGAAGUCUGUUUCAUGAAGUCAUCAGUCCACAGUUGAGUUCCCCUGCUAAGACGUUGUUGCAUGUAUCAACCAAUGGUUGUGUGCCAGGUCAUCGACUGUGCUGUCGGGCACCAGAUUGCUAGGACAUAUGAUAUGGCUAGCUGAUAUGUAAAAUAACUAUCCAAUGGCUGGGCAGAGGAACGUGCCCCACUACCUCUCUCUGAUGUCAUCAAAGGCUUCAGAGAGAAAAGGUGUGCUUGUUUUGCAAGCCGAUGUGUCCCAGAGAUGGGCGGGACAUAGGUUUCAUGACCCACUCACCUUAUACAGCAACCCUGGCAGUUUAUUCUGCCUAAUACCACUUAGAGAUACUCAGACACAUGCUGGCUUGUAAAACAAGCCCACACAGUCACGAUCGGCCAUAACUUCAUGGUCUAAAGACUGUAGUUACACAUGUUUCUCUUAGAAAUAAAAAUACAUGGAAAAAUAAAUGUAUUUAACAAAUGCUGCAUUCUUUAUAACAGUAGAUUUGUUCGCUAUACAUGGUGCUAUUGGGGUCUCAACAUAUAUAUAAAAUUGCUGUGUGUAUUUGAAUGUAGGUUUUUGCGAUUAAUGUAAAUGUUAAAAUAUAUUUUAUAAUAAACAGAUAUUACCUAUCACACAGCGCUUCAUCAAAAGGGUCAAAUAGUGGGUGCUUAUAUUUCUCCUGUUUCACUGCAUGUACAAGUGGGUAACUUGUACAAGUUUGGUAAUGGGAAUUUAGCAUAUCUGUACUCCCCCUGACAGUGGGUUCGUGGCCAGGGAUCUGUCGUUAUUGACCGGGAACCUGGAGCAAUUUGGGUUGAGUGACUUGCUCAUGUGCAGAUCAACAGAUUUUUCACCUUGUUUUUACGGGGAUUCAACAUAUCGACCUUGCGGUUACUGGUCAAAUGUUCUAACUGCUAGGCUACCUGCCGCCCUACACUGCACCGAUGCUUCACCCCUGUAAGUAGUCUUCUGAUGUGAAUACCCUUGAGCAGAAGGAAUCUUUCCACCCUCAAUUUACCAGGACACCGAACCCCCACCCCCCAAUAAUUUUGUACUAUAUUGUACGAGGUAAAACAAGUCUCUUCUCCCCCUGGGAAAAAAUAAGCAACAGUACUUGUUAUUCGCACUUUGAAAUGGACUACUGUAUGUGGACAAAAAAAAAGAGAGGGUUUUAUCAUAACGAUGCCUUGUGUAGUUCCAUGGGUUUAUCGUGCAUAUAUUUUGGUUUCCAGUGAACAGUUGAUAGCUGUAACUAGUUUGUGAAUAAAGUGUUGAAUGCCAAGGUUUCCUCCUCU